GGGGAAUAUUGCACAAUGGGCGAAAGUCUGACGGAGCAACGCCGCGUGAGUGAAGAAGGCCUUCGGGUCGUAAAACUCUGUUGCCGGGGAAGAACAAGUGCCGUUCGAACAGGGCGGCGCCUUGACGGUACCCGGCCAGAAAGCCACGGCUAACUACGUGCCAGCAGCCGCGGUAAUACGUCGGUGGCAAGCGUUGUCCGGAAUUAUUGGGCGUAAAGCGCGCGCAGGCGGCUUCUUAAGUCGGAUGUGAAAUCUUGCGGCUCAACCGCAAGCGGUCAUUGGAAACUGGGAGGCUUGAGUGCAGAAGAGGAGAGUGGAAUUCCACGUGUAGCGGUGAAAUGCGUAGAGAUGUGGAGGAACACCAGUGGCGAAGGCGGCUCUCUGGUCUGUAACUGACGCUGAGGCGCGAAAGCGUGGGGAGCAAAC
RNAcentral lists this ribosomal RNA (426 nucleotides) under uncultured bacterium. Its description in RNAcentral is "bacterial SSU rRNA". It matches the Rfam family "Bacterial small subunit ribosomal RNA", at positions 356 to 773 of the family's 1533-position model. The record is from RNAcentral.